RNAcentral lists this ribosomal RNA (1478 nucleotides) under uncultured organism. RNAcentral describes it as "16S ribosomal RNA". It matches the Rfam family "Bacterial small subunit ribosomal RNA". The record is from RNAcentral.
GAUGAACGCUGGCGGCGUGCCUAAUACAUGCAAGUCGAACGAGUUCUGAUUAUUGAAAGGUGCUUGCAUCUUGAUUUAAUUUUGAACGAGUGGCGGACGGGUGAGUAACACGUGGGUAACCUGCCCUUAAGUGGGGGAUAACAUUUGGAAACAGAUGCUAAUACCGCAUAAAUCCAAAAACCGCAUGGUUCUUGGCUGAAAGAUGGCGUAAGCUAUCGCUUUUGGAUGGACCCGCGGCGUAUUAGCUAGUUGGUGAGGUAACGGCUCACCAAGGCAAUGAUACGUAGCCGAACUGAGAGGUUGAUCGGCCACAUUGGGACUGAGACACGGCCCAAACUCCUACGGGAGGCAGCAGUAGGGAAUCUUCCACAAUGGACGCAAGUCUGAUGGAGCAACGCCGCGUGAGUGAAGAAGGCUUUCGGGUCGUAAAACUCUGUUGUUGGAGAAGAAUGGUCGGCAGAGUAACUGUUGUCGGCGUGACGGUAUCCAACCAGAAAGCCACGGCUAACUACGUGCCAGCAGCCGCGGUAAUACGUAGGUGGCAAGCGUUAUCCGGAUUUAUUGGGCGUAAAGCGAGCGCAGGCGGUUUUUUAAGUCUGAUGUGAAAGCCCUCGGCUUAACCGAGGAAGUGCAUCGGAAACUGGGAAACUUGAGUGCAGAAGAGGACAGUGGAACUCCAUGUGUAGCGGUGAAAUGCGUAGAUAUAUGGAAGAACACCAGUGGCGAAGGCGGCUGUCUGGUCUGUAACUGACGCUGAGGCUCGAAAGCAUGGGUAGCGAACAGGAUUAGAUACCCUGGUAGUCCAUGCCGUAAACGAUGAAUGCUAGGUGUUGGAGGGUUUCCGCCCUUCAGUGCCGCAGCUAACGCAUUAAGCAUUCCGCCUGGGGAGUACGACCGCAAGGUUGAAACUCAAAGGAAUUGACGGGGGCCCGCACAAGCGGUGGAGCAUGUGGUUUAAUUCGAAGCAACGCGAAGAACCUUACCAGGUCUUGACAUCUUUUGAUCACCUGAGAGAUCAGGUUUCCCCUUCGGGGGCAAAAUGACAGGUGGUGCAUGGUUGUCGUCAGCUCGUGUCGUGAGAUGUUGGGUUAAGUCCCGCAACGAGCGCAACCCUUAUGACUAGUUGCCAGCAUUUAGUUGGGCACUCCAGUAAGACUGCCGGUGACAAACCGGAGGAAGGUGGGGAUGACGUCAAAUCAUCAUGCCCCUUAUGACCUGGGCUACACACGUGCUACAAUGGAUGGUACAACGAGUUGCGAGACCGCGAGGUCAAGCUAAUCUCUUAAAGCCAUUCUCAGUUCGGACUGUAGGCUGCAACUCGCCUACACGAAGUCGGAAUCGCUAGUAAUCGCGGAUCAGCACGCCGCGGUGAAUACGUUCCCGGGCCUUGUACACACCGCCCGUCACACCAUGAGAGUUUGUAACACCCGAAGCCGGUGGCGUAACCCUUUUAGGGAGCGAGCCGUCUAAGGUGGGAC